GUGUCUUCGAUGAAGCAUCUAUGGUUAGAAGCUCAGGUCAAGUUCAGAAGUAGAAAAGGGUAGCAUUGAUAAACAGGUGGAGCUGCAAGAUGAUCAUGAAGUGAUCGAUGUGCAGGCACACACAGAAAAUCAAGUGGAGCGUGUAGAAGAUGUUCAGUUGGAUCUACGAAGAUUCAACCGCUUGAUGUUACAGAGCGUAGCAUCGUGAAAGAUCGACCAAGAAGGGUUGAUGUAAGGCCACCAAAGAGAUAUCACUUUGAUGAUAUGGUGGGUUAUGCACUUUAGGUUGCAGAGGAAGUGGAUGCGUCAUCCACUUACAUGGAAGUUGUUUCUAGUCCCGAGUCUGAGAAACGGCAUGUUGCAACAAGAGACGUGGAGUUUCAUUAGAAGAAUCAUACAUGGGAUCUGGUCACAUUACCAUCGGGGAGAAGGGAUGUUACAUGCAAGUGGGUCUUCAAGAUUAAGGAUGGAGCAUCACUGGCAGAAGGAGUUAAGUAUAAAGCUCGGGUUGUUGCAAGAGGGUUCAGCCAGAGAGAGGGAGUAGACUACAAUGAGAUGUUCUCACCUGUGGUCAGAGAUACUUUCAUCAGAGUGUUGCUAGCGCUGGUAGCACGCCAGGACUUGGAGCUUGAGCAAUUUGAUGUGAAGACAGUGUUUCUUCAUGGAGAGCUAGAGGAGAUAUACAUGACUCAGCCAGAUGGUUGUCGAGUUCCUGAAAAAAAUGACUAUGUGUGUACGCUUCAUAAGUCACUUUGUGGAUUUAAGCAGGCUCUCAGAGGAUGGUACAAGAGAUUAAACAGAUAUAUAAUCAAGUUGGGGUACAUCAAAAGUCCUUAUGAUUGGUGUGUCUGCGUGAGUAAGUUGAAGGAUGCAACAUUCAUAUGUUUGGUACUCUACGUGGAUGACAUGUUGUUAGCUGAAGAGAAGUGUGACAUCGAGAAGCUGAAGCUUCUGGGUUCUGAAGUUGAGAUGAAGGACUUGGGUGCAGCAAAGAAGAUUCUAGGGAUGGAGAUCUUCAGAGAUAGGGAGAAGGAGUUCUUGUCACAGAAGGCCUAUAUUAAUGAGGUGUUGACAAGGUUCGUGAUGUCUUCAGGUGAACAUAUCAGUACUUUGUGCACUGCAAAUGAUCAUCUCACCAUGUAUAUGGUUUAGCCCGUUGGGGCAUCUGGCCCGUUGAGGCAUCAUGCCCGUCGGGGCAUCUGGUCCGCAAGGACUUCUGGCCCGUUGGGGCAUCUGGUCCGCAAGGACAUCUGGCCCGUUGGGGCGUUUGGUCCGUUGGGACAUCUGGCCCGUUGGGGCAUCUAGUCCGUUGGGACGUCUGGUCCGUUGGGACAUCUGGUCCGUUGGAACAUCUGGCCCGUUGGGGCAUCUAGUCUGUUGGGACAUCUGGUCCGUUGGGACAUCUGGUCCGUUGGGACAUCCGGCUGAUGACGAACGUCUGCCUCUAGUUGAGCAUCUGGCCGUUAAAGGGUGUCUGGUUUGUCAUAGCAACACAUCUGGUCCGAAGGGACAUCUGAGGCAAAAAGAGCGAUGGUACAUUUGGCGUUUGAAGAACGCAUUUGGUACAUCGGGCGUUGAUGGUGCAUCGGGCAUUUGAAAGUGCAUAUGGUACAUUUAGCGCUGAUGGCGCAUCUGGUACAUCUGGUGCAGAGACACGCAUCUGGUACAUCUGGCACUUGAAGGUGCAUCUGGUACAUCUGUUAUUGGGAGGAUUCAAGUCAAUGUGGAGAUUUGUUGAUAUGCCUUGAAUCUGGAUGUUACAUCUAGGUGAUAGAUUACAUCAUGUACAUCAUACCGACUCGGUUGCAUCAAGAGCGUUGCAUCAAGUUAUUAUGGAUGUUACAUCUGAUCGUGGGCUUAGACCCAUGAGUCCAUAAAGUCUAGGGUUUUAGAUACGUGAUGCUACUAUAUAUAUCUUGUAUUCGAAGUAACUUUAAACUUGCACUUUGUAAGCUCAAUAUCGCCUCCAAUAAUAAGAUCUCUCUUUGCCCGUAGACGUACCUCUAGUGGUGAACCACGUUAAAUAUCUGUGUCGUAGUUACAUCGCUUUUAUUCAUCUGUUUCCGCAUCUAUUCCUUCUCACGUCCGUCACAACAGUUAUUGUUGCAGCAAAUUUACGAGUUACCACGUGUUAGUAUGUAAUUUGAGGAAAGUCUUGUUUGAUCUUGGAUGAGGUCUGCCUCUCAGAUGAGACCAAACUGAUACAACUCAAACAUGUUCAAGCUUCGGUACUGAUAAGAGUUUGAGUUUGUAUUAUUCUUUAGUUCAAUAUUAUGUUCUUUUUGUAGUCCAAAAUCUCACAUGAUUCUUUCAUUAAUCAAUGAAUGCCUUUUUGUAUAUUUCUGCUGGAUGUGUGUUUGGAGAUAAACCGACUCAACAGAGACACAAAGAGAGUGAGAGUCACUGUGGGUAAAAUUCCCUCUUUUAUCUUUCUCUUGACUUCACACAGAGAGUGAGAGUCACUGUGGUUACUAUUUUUAUUACAACAAGUCUUCGUACAACUUCUCUUUUAGGAAACUUUAUAUUCCCUUUUACAAUGCUCACUACUGAUCCAAAGAAUCAAAGUAAAGCUCUUGACAUCCUCUCUUUUGGCUUUGUCAGUGUGUUGGUUCUUCACCGUGUAGUUUUCACCGAGGGCCGAACAGAGACACCAUGUAAGAGUUUAGCAAACCCAAAGAAGCUCAGCUUCCCAUCUGUGUGUCUUAUCCAAUCAUGUAGAACCGAAUGUACUGUUAUAGCUGGUCCAACCCCAAGUUCCUGCAUACUCAGAAAACAACAUGUUGUCAUCUUUAAUAGGCAAAGAAAGCAAACACUGCUUAGCUUACAGAUGCGAGUUCUUCAAUAACGAUAGCUCUGUUUCCAUUCCUUUCAAACAGCUCAUAAGCAUGACGAAUGCUCUCUUCCCAACAAUCAAGCGACUCAUGCUGAUGAACGUUUAUAGCAGCUGCACAAAACUCUUCAAAGUCCAUUCCUCUGUGUUGAAGUCCAUUUAGCUGUAAAAAUGACAAGUCAUUGAUAAGAGGCAUUAUACAACCAAAACCGUUUAUAGUAUCUACUAAACGUUUCUUUACCAAAGCAAGAAACUCUGGGAUUCGAGUCUCCUUCAUUUCAUCUGUGGCAUUGCUUGAGAGUGACGAUCUAAUGCUUCCCAAAGUGAUGAAGCCAUCUUUGUUCGGUGAGAGGAAAGAAAAUUGAGUUUUCAGGUAAAUAAUCUCAUCAGUGAUUAGUGUCUUGGACAAUGCCUGUAGAAAGAAAGAACACAAUGGUCAGAAACUAGUCUUCAGACAAUGUUCUUCAGUGCUUAAAAACAUACCCUCAAAGCAGCUUUGCGCAAUGAAGAAGAUCGCAAGUAGGCCUUCAUCUGCCUAAAGAUCAAGAUAUCAAACGGUACAUUCAUAUCCCUAUCAUAACCACGGAUCCAAGGAUGCACUGUAAAAAAUAUAAAAAAGGAACUGUGACUACCAAGAGAGAAAAGACAUUAUAUCUAUAUAUAAAGAGGUAGGAACUGACUCAAGGCUUGGGAAGCUGACAUUCUUCUCCGGGGAUCCUUAAACAAUAACCGCUUAACAAAGUCUUUAGCUUCAGAGGACAAGAAGGGCCAAGGAGCUUCAUCGAAACUAGGGUCAGCUUUAAGAACAGCUCUGAAGAUUCCGGAUUCUGUUCUUGCCCAAAACGGACGGCUACCACAUAGUAGUAUGUAUGCUAUGACUCCAAUGCUCCAUACAUCUGCUUCUGUUGUGUAUGAUCUGUGUAGAACUUCAGGUGCUACGUAGUAUGCACUUCCAACUAUAUCGUUGAGUCUCUCAUCUUUUUCAAAUUAAAGAACACAAAAGACCAUUUUUUUAGUUUAUUAACCAUAAUAAAAAGAAAUACUCCCUCUUUUUCAGAUUAGUUGUCGUUCUAGAAUUUAAAAUUUGUUUCAUUUUAAAUGUAUGUUUUCAAUGCAUUUAAUUGCUAAUUUUUCCAAUUUUAUCUCUAUUCUUUUAGCUCUUUAAUUAACAUAAUAAAACAAAAUAAUGUAUUAAUUAAGGGUAAAAGAUGAAAUUAAAUGAUUUUUUAAUCUGUUUGAAAAAAAAUUAUUAACUACAUAUAAAAUGAACCGGAUGGAGUAGUUGACAUAGUUAAAUAUGAUUAUGAACCUGGUUUGACAAAAUCUGAUAAGCCAAAGUCUAUGGCUUUAAGCUGAGAGUUCUCCUCCUUGGAAGUGUACAAGAAGUUCUGAUGAUCAAAGAAAACAUUAAACAGAUAAUCUUCUUUCUGGUUCACACAAAAAAAAAAAACGGUGACUCACCUCUGGUUUAAGAUCUCUAUGAACAACUCCUUGGAGAUGACAAAAAGCUACAACGUUUAGGAUUUGUAUAAUCACUGGUUUUGCAUCAUCCUCUGAGUACUUCCCUCCCCUACAAAAAAAACAAUAUAAAACUUCAGAACCAAUCUCUAACCAUAUGUUUCCAAAUGCUUUAAACUUAAAAUAGCACACACCUUGCUAGUAUUCUGUCAAGUAGUUCACCGCCUUCACAUAGCCUGCAAAAUUCAAGUUACUUUAAUUCUUUAAAUCUAACUGAUUCAUCAGGUAACAAAAGUUUGCUUACUCCAUGGCAAUGUAGACGUUAGCAUUGUCCUCAAAUGCAUCAUAGAACUGAACCAGAUUCUUAUGUCCAGAUAAAGCCUGUAGAAUCUUCACUUCCCUUCUCACAUCUUCUAUAGCUAUUGCACUUGUCAUCUAACCACACAAUGAAUCAUAAGAAAAUUAUGUUUUGGAGUAUGCAAUCAUCAAAAAAAAGAAAGGGUUUAUUUUUUUUUUUACCUUAGAUUUGGGGAUGAUCUUAACAGCAACCACUUGACCUUUGAGCUCACCUUUCCUGAACUUAGCAGAGCAAGUAUACCCAAAAUGCCCUCGACCAAUCUCAUCCCCCAACUCCACUCUACUGUGGAAAUCCUUUGCAAAACCAAACCUUUUGUCCAGCCCUAGCUCCUCUCCCUCCUCCUGCGGCGGAGCCUCCGUCGCUUCCGCCGAUAAAGCAGCUUCCUUUUUGCCCUUCCUCCGCCGUAGCGCCGCGCGGAUGUGUUUCGCCGGAGAGGGAGGGUUGAACGCGCGCCGUAAUUGACGGAGCGGCGUGCUCGUCACGCUCUUGCUCUCUCCGCCGGUGACGUCACGGCUCUUGUUGCGGCGGUGGCGGGCAGGGCUAGGAGUGUAGAAGGGGAAGAAAGGAGAGGCCUUUGAUGCUGAAGGGGUGGGAUUGUCAAUUAGGGGAUAGUCGUUGCCGGGGAAGAAAGGGUUAUCAGGUCUGCCGGAGGCAGAGGGUUUGGAGGUGCAGCCUCCCAUGAUCUCCGGCGAAAGAAAAGGAAGUAACUUUGUUGAAGAAACAGAGUAAUGCUAUCUAUCAAAGUUCUGAUUUUUAGAGAGUGUAGAGAAGAGAGAUAGAGAGCAAAUAGAUCACAUGAGAAGUGAAACAGUUAAAGAAAUUGAAUUUUGAAUCUGAAAAUGGGGGUAGUGAUGAGAUCAUUUUUCUGCCACGUAUUUAUUGUCUUAAUUUAUUACGUUUUGUUAAACUUACGAUCUGUUUNNNNNNNNNNNNNNNNNNNNNNNNNNNNNNNNNNNNNNNNNNNNNNNNNNNNNNNNNNNNNNNNNNNNNNNNNNNNNNNNNNNNNNNNNNNNNNNNNNNNNNNNNNNNNNNNNNNNNNNNNNNNNNNNNNNNNNNNNNNNNNNNNNNAACUUCCUUGUGUUGUGCUGCGUCGGGUUAGCUGUGAGAUAGCAGGCUGAGAGAUUAUCACAAUAUAACUCCGGUGUGACUGAUCUCCAUCAGAAAAUCGAAUGUUUCUAAGCAUGAAUGGUGUCUUCGAUGAAGCAUCUAUGGUUAGAAGCUCAGGUCAAGUUCAGAAGUAGAAAAGGGUAGCAUUGAUAAACAGGUGGAGCUGCAAGAUGAUCAUGAAGUGAUCGAUGUGCAGGCACACACAGAAAAUCAAGUGGAGCGUGUAGAAGAUGUUCAGUUGGAUCUACGAAGAUUCAACCGCUUGAUGUUACAGAGCGUAGCAUCGUGAAAGAUCGACCAAGAAGGGUUGAUGUAAGGCCACCAAAGAGAUAUCACUUUGAUGAUAUGGUGGGUUAUGCACUUUAGGUUGCAGAGGAAGUGGAUGCGUCAUCCACUUACAUGGAAGUUGUUUCUAGUCCCGAGUCUGAGAAAC
This 6186-nucleotide long non-coding RNA is filed under the name Brassica napus (rape). RNAcentral's name for it is "long non-coding RNA (BNAP_LNC021133)". Lineage: Eukaryota; Viridiplantae; Streptophyta; Magnoliopsida; Brassicales; Brassicaceae. The record is from RNAcentral.